This 382-nucleotide ribosomal RNA is filed under the name uncultured fungus. RNAcentral's name for it is "partial small subunit ribosomal RNA". It matches the Rfam family "Eukaryotic small subunit ribosomal RNA", at positions 30 to 432 of the family's 1831-position model. The record is from RNAcentral. Lineage: Eukaryota; Fungi.
GCUUGUCUCAAAGAUUAAGCCAUGCAUGUUCAAGUAUAGCAAGUGUACAGUGAAACUGCGAAUGGCUCAUUAAAUCAGUUAUAAUUUAUUUGAUAGUGAAAUUGUACAUGGAUAACCGUGGCAAUUCUAGGGCUAAUACAUGCGUCAAUGGUCGGUCGACCAGUAUUUAUUAGAUACAAAGCCAGCCGUCAGGAUCAGGUGAAUCAUGAUAACCAAACGAAUCGCAAGCGCAAGCGGCGAUGGUUCAUUCAAAUUUCUGCCCUAUCAGCUUCCGACGGUAGGGUAUUGGCCUACCGUGGCAAUGACGGGUAACGGAGAAUUAGGGUUCGAUUCCGGAGAGGGAGCCUGAGAAACGGCUACCACAUCUAAGGAAGGCAGCAGG